GGACUCUCGGCAACGGAUAUCUCGGCUCUUGCAUCGAUGAAGAACGUAGCGAAAUGCGAUACUUGGUGUGAAUUGCAAAAUCCCGUGAACCAUCGAGUCUUUGAACGCAAGUUGCGCCCGAAGCCAUUAGGCUGAGGGCACGCCUGCCUGGGUGUCUCCC
RNAcentral lists this ribosomal RNA (160 nucleotides) under Crotalaria paniculata. RNAcentral describes it as "5.8S ribosomal RNA". It matches the Rfam family "5.8S ribosomal RNA". From Rfam's summary of the family: 5.8S ribosomal RNA (5.8S rRNA) is a component of the large subunit of the eukaryotic ribosome. It is transcribed by RNA polymerase I as part of the 45S precursor that also contains 18S and 28S rRNA. Functionally, it is thought that 5.8S rRNA may be involved in ribosome translocation. Lineage: Eukaryota; Viridiplantae; Streptophyta; Magnoliopsida; Fabales; Fabaceae. The record is from RNAcentral.